Molecule: small RNA, 124 nt
Filed under: Martinezella tropici
Lineage: Bacteria; Pseudomonadati; Pseudomonadota; Alphaproteobacteria; Hyphomicrobiales; Rhizobiaceae
Also listed under: 1 other name
Description: Rhizobium tropici ar14
Rfam family: Alphaproteobacterial ar14
About the family: Smr14C2 was renamed NfeR1 (Nodule Formation Efficiency RNA) highly expressed in salt stress and during the symbiotic interaction on legume roots.
Source: RNAcentral
GCUUGGCAGACGUCCUUAUCCUCCUCCCAGGGACGGCUGCAGGAAUAGCGGAACUCCUCCUCCCAUCCGCUGUUCGGUUCUUGUAAAAAGCCUGCCGCUCCUCCUCCCGCGGCAGGCUUUUUCG